CCAUAUGCAAUAAACAAGUUUUUGAGCAGUAAGAAUGAGAGAUGUAUGCAGAGUUUUACAAGAUAAAGCUGAACAAUCAUUAGAUACAACUCUAGUGCAGAAGAAGGAAGACCUAGGUCACAUCUAUAAAAAAGAAGAAGAAAACGUUAGGUCACAUCUAUAAAAAAGAAGAAGAAAACGUAUUCUCUGGUAAUCCCCCCACAGAUGUGAUGGCACUUAUAUAGGAUCCUUCUUUUCCCAUCAAUUGAAAGGUUACUUCCAGAUAAUGUCCAUCCAUUUUAUUUAAGUCUACAGAAACAAGUAAGAGCAUCAGAGAACAAAUGGUAAUGGAAUACUACCUGCAAUAGCAUGCUGUUUGUAUUCCAAGAUUAGUUACAAACUAGAUGCCACAGAAAACAACACAGCACCGAAAACUGAACCAUAACAUUCAAUCUUACGCACUUAUAACCACAUCAUUAAAAUGGCAGACCAGAAACAUAUAAUGCUAGAAUCUUGCGUCUCUCAAACAAAUUAUUUAGACCUUACAUUUGCCCCUAGCCUGAUACUAAAGCUGAAAACACAGCACUCUUGUGAAAAACUAGAUUUGAUAAGACACAUUCCAAGAAAACAUGAACCCAAGAGACAAUCUCCUCUUUGACAAGGUCAAAUGCUUGCCCUAAGAUGCCUGCCUGCAUAGGUUUCAAUGUAUUAAAAAGACUCUUCCAGCUUUUUUCUUCCUCUCCAGCAUGAUUUUCCUAAAUGUGAGUACGUUGUUACUUAAUGUGCUGCUGAGGGGGCCAAAUCAAUUAGUCAUUUUCAAUCUGGAUCACAAACUUUCAGCUUAUUCACGAUCAAUGCUUUAUAGGUAAAAUGAAGUAUAAAAAGUUUUAAAAAUGUACAAUGAUUCAAUAGUGUGAACAAACAAUAAGAUCUGAC
RNAcentral lists this long non-coding RNA (915 nucleotides) under Theobroma cacao (cacao). Its description in RNAcentral is "long non-coding RNA (TCAC_LNC001366)". The record is from RNAcentral. Lineage: Eukaryota; Viridiplantae; Streptophyta; Magnoliopsida; Malvales; Malvaceae.